RNAcentral lists this unclassified non-coding RNA (203 nucleotides) under Hevea brasiliensis (rubber tree). Lineage: Eukaryota; Viridiplantae; Streptophyta; Magnoliopsida; Malpighiales; Euphorbiaceae. The record is from RNAcentral.
GGAAGCUUUGGGGUGCAUUUGUUUGCCAGAAUCUACCAAGAAAGCAACUAGGAAUGUUAAAUUCAAGUGAUUGGUUUGUACUGGAAAGUUCAAUUCCUAAACUUAUAGGUCCCACUUUACUUUCCUAUAUGCAUGGGAAAGUAAUUUCCUAUCUCAAAUGGUAGGAAAAUUACUUUCCCAUUGGUGUAGGAAAUUAAGAAAAU